UAUAUCAGAACCAUCUAGAUC
This 21-nucleotide microRNA is filed under the name Marchantia polymorpha subsp. ruderalis. The record is from RNAcentral. Lineage: Eukaryota; Viridiplantae; Streptophyta; Marchantiopsida; Marchantiales; Marchantiaceae.